Molecule: ribosomal RNA, 1013 nt
Filed under: Lysinibacillus boronitolerans
Lineage: Bacteria; Bacillati; Bacillota; Bacilli; Caryophanales; Bacillaceae
Description: bacterial SSU rRNA
Rfam family: Bacterial small subunit ribosomal RNA (bases 1-844)
Source: RNAcentral
CUGGGCGGCCUGCCUAUACAUGCAAGUCGAGCGAACAGAGAAGGAGCUUGCUCCUUUGACGUUAGCGGCGGACGGGUGAGUAACACGUGGGCAACCUACCUUAUAGUUUGGGAUAACUCCGGGAAACCGGGGCUAAUACCGAAUAAUCUAUUUUACUUCAUGGUGAAAUACUGAAAGACGGUUUCUGCUGUCCCUAUAAGAUGGGCCCGCGGCGCAUUAACUAGUUGGGGAGGUAACGGCUCACCAAGGGGACCAUGCGUAACCCAACUGAAAGGGUGAUCGGCCACACUGGGACUGAAACACGGCCCAAACUCCUACGGGAGGGAGCAGUAGGGAAUCUUCCACAAUGGGCGAAAGCCUGAUGGAACAACGCCGCGUGAGUGAAGAAGGGUUUCGGAUCGUAAAACUCUGUUGGAAGGGAAGAACAAGUACAGUAAUAACUGGGUGUACCUUGACGGUACCUUAUUAAAAAGCCACGGCUAACUACGUGCCAGCAGCCGCGGUAAUACGUAAGUGGCAAGCGUUGUCCGGAAUUAUUGGGCGUAAAGCGCGCGCAGGCGGUCCUUUAAGUCUGAUGUGAAAGCCCACGGCUCAACCGUGGAGGGUCAUUGGAAACUGGGGGACUUGAGUGCAGAAGAAGAAAGUGGAAUUCCAAGUGUAGCGGUGAAAUGCGUAGAGAUUUGGAGAACACCAGUGGCGAAGCGACUUUCUGGUCUGUAACUGACGCUGAGCGCGAAAGCGUGGGGGAGCAAACAGGAUUAGAUACCCUGGUAGUCACGCGUAAACGAUGAGUGCUAGUGUAGGGGUUUCCGCCCUAGUGCUGCAGCUACGCAUAGCACUCGCUGGAGUACGUCGCAGACUGAACUCAAGAUGACGGGGCCGCACAGCGUGAGCAUGUAUAUCGAGCACGCGAGACUUACAGUCUGACAUCGGUGACACUGUAAGAAUGGUUUCUUCGACACGUGACGUGGUGCAUGCUGCGUCAGUCGUCUGAAUGUUGGUUAGUUCGUACG